Molecule: ribosomal RNA, 839 nt
Filed under: Chaetomium cruentum
Lineage: Eukaryota; Fungi; Ascomycota; Sordariomycetes; Sordariales; Chaetomiaceae
Description: LSU rRNA
Rfam family: Eukaryotic large subunit ribosomal RNA
Source: RNAcentral
CCAACAGGGAUUGCCCUAGUAACGGCGAGUGAAGCGGCAACAGCUCAAAUUUGAAAUCUGGCUUCGGCCCGAGUUGUAAUUUGCAGAGGAAGCUUUAGGCGCGGCACCUUCUGAGUCCCCUGGAACGGGGCGCCAUAGAGGGUGAGAGCCCCGUAUAGUUGGAUGCCUAGCCUGUGUAAAGCUCCUUCGACGAGUCGAGUAGUUUGGGAAUGCUGCUCAAAAUGGGAGGUAAAUUUCUUCUAAAGCUAAAUACCGGCCAGAGACCGAUAGCGCACAAGUAGAGUGAUCGAAAGAUGAAAAGCACUUUGAAAAGAGGGUUAAAUAGCACGUGAAAUUGUUGAAAGGGAAGCGCUUGUGACCAGACUUGCGCCGGGCGGAUCAUCCGGUGUUCUCACCGGUGCACUCCGCCCGGCUCAGGCCAGCAUCGGUUCUCGCGGGGGGAUAAAGGUCCUGGGAACGUAGCUCCUCCGGGAGUGUUAUAGCCCGGGGCGUAAUGCCCUCGCGGGGACCGAGGUUCGCGCAUCUGCAAGGAUGCUGGCGUAAUGGUCAUCAGCGACCCGUCUUGAAACACGGACCAAGGAGUCAAGGUUUUGCGCGAGUGUUUGGGUGUAAAACCCGCACGCGUAAUGAAAGUGAACGUAGGUGAGAGCUUCGGCGCAUCAUCGACCGAUCCUGAUGUUUUCGGAUGGAUUUGAGUAGGAGCGUUAAGCCUUGGACCCGAAAGAUGGUGAACUAUGCUUGGAUAGGGUGAAGCCAGAGGAAACUCUGGUGGAGGCUCGCAGCGGUUCUGACGUGCAAAUCGAUCGUCAAAUCUGAGCAUGGGGCGAAAGACUAAUCGA